GAUGAACGCUAGCGGCAGGCCUAAUACAUGCAAGUCUAGGGGGCAGCAAUGUCACCGGCGCACGGGUGCGUAACACGUAUGCAACCUACCUUCUACAGGGGUACAGCCUUCCGAAAGGGAGAUUAAUACCGCAUGAGACCACACUUAUACAUAUAAGAGGGGUUAAAGAUUUAUCGGUAGGAGAUGGGCAUGCGUCUGAUUAGUUAGUUGGCGGGGUAACGGCUCACCAAGACGAUGAUCAGUAGGGGACCUGAGAGGGUAAUCCCCCACACUGGCACUGAGAUACGGGCCAGACUCCUACGGGAGGCAGCAGUAGGGAAUAUUGGGCAAUGGAGGCAACUCUGACCCAGCCAUGCCGCGUGCAGGAAGAAGGCGUUAUGCGUUGUAAACUGCUUUUAUAUGGGAAGAAAAGGCUAUGCGUAGCAAAUUGACGGUACCAUAUGAAUAAGCACCGGCUAACUCCGUG
RNAcentral lists this ribosomal RNA (466 nucleotides) under uncultured bacterium. RNAcentral describes it as "bacterial SSU rRNA". It matches the Rfam family "Bacterial small subunit ribosomal RNA", at positions 28 to 507 of the family's 1533-position model. The record is from RNAcentral.